GCUACAUAGAGUUUGAUCCUGGCUCGGAAGUCGGGCGCGGGAUCCAUGAUGUUAGCGGCGGACGGGUGAGUAACACGUGGGUAACCUGCCUGUAAGACUGGGAUAACUCCGGGAAACCGGGGCUAAUACCGGAUGGUUGUUUGAACCGCAUGGUUCAAACAUAAAAGGUGGCUUCGGCUACCACUUACAGAUGGACCCGCGGCGCAUUAGCUAGUUGGUGAGGUAACGGCUCACCAAGGCAACGAUGCGUAGCCGACCUGAGAGGGUGAUCGGCCACACUGGGACUGAGACACGGCCCAGACUCCUACGGGAGGCAGCAGUAGGGAAUCUUCCGCAAUGGACGAAAGUCUGACGGAGCAACGCCGCGUGAGUGAUGAAGGUUUUCGGAUCGUAAAGCUCUGUUGUUAGGGAAGAACAAGUACCGUUCGAAUAGGGCGGUACCUUGACGGUACCUAACCAGAAAGCCACGGCUAACUACGUGCCAGCAGCCGCGGUAAUACGUAGGUGGCAAGCGUUGUCCGGAAUUAUUGGGCGUAAAGGGCUCGCAGGCGGUUUCUUAAGUCUGAUGUGAAAGCCCCCGGCUCAACCGGGGAGGGUCAUUGGAAACUGGGGAACUUGAGUGCAGAAGAGGAGAGUGGAAUUCCACGUGUAGCGGUGAAAUGCGUAGAGAUGUGGAGGAACACCAGUGGCGAAGGCGACUCUCUGGUCUGUAACUGACGCUGAGGAGCGAAAGCGUGGGGAGCGAACAGGAUUAGAUACCCUGGUAGUCCACGCCGUAAACGAUGAGUGCUAAGUGUUAGGGGGUUUCCGCCCCUUAGUGCUGCAGCUAACGCAUUAAGCACUCCGCCUGGGGAGUACGGUCGCAAGACUGAAACUCAAAGGAAUUGACGGGGGCCCGCACAAGCGGUGGAGCAUGUGGUUUAAUUCGAAGCAACGCGAAGAACCUUACCAGGUCUUGACAUCCUCUGACAAUCCUAGAGAUAGGACGUCCCCUUCGGGGGCAGAGUGACAGGUGGUGCAUGGUUGUCGUCAGCUCGUGUCCUGAGAUGUUGGGUUAAGUCCCGCAACGAGCGCAACCCUUGAUCUUAGUUGCCAGCAUUCAGUUGGGCACUCUAAGGUGACUGCCGGUGACAAACCCGAAGAAAGGUGGGGAUGACGUCAAAUCAUCAUGCCCCUUAUGACCUGGGCUACCACCUUGCUACAAUGGACAGAACAAAGGGGAACGAAACCCGC
This 1233-nucleotide ribosomal RNA is filed under the name Bacillus tequilensis. RNAcentral's name for it is "bacterial SSU rRNA". It matches the Rfam family "Bacterial small subunit ribosomal RNA", at positions 1 to 1258 of the family's 1533-position model. Lineage: Bacteria; Bacillati; Bacillota; Bacilli; Caryophanales; Bacillaceae. The record is from RNAcentral.